UAGCCAGAUUGACCAGGGCAUGGUCGAGGU
This 30-nucleotide small RNA is filed under the name Bombyx mori (domestic silkworm). Its description in RNAcentral is "ovarian small RNA-22335". Lineage: Eukaryota; Metazoa; Arthropoda; Insecta; Lepidoptera; Bombycidae. The record is from RNAcentral.